UACGUAGGUGGCAAGCGUUGUCCGGAUUUACUAGGCGUAAAGAGCGCGCAGGCGGUCGGAUUAGUCGCGUGUGAAAGCCCCCGGCUCAACUGGGGAGGGUCACGCGAUACUGUUCGACUCGAAGGCAGGAGAGGGAAGUGGAAUUCCCGGUGUAGUGGUGAAAUGCGUAGAUAUCAGGAGGAACACCGAUGGCGAAGGCAGCUCGCUGGGACGGUACUGACGCUGAGACGCGAAAGCGUGGGGAGCAAACAGG
This 253-nucleotide ribosomal RNA is filed under the name uncultured bacterium. RNAcentral's name for it is "partial 16S ribosomal RNA". It matches the Rfam family "Bacterial small subunit ribosomal RNA", at positions 524 to 776 of the family's 1533-position model. The record is from RNAcentral.